RNAcentral lists this ribosomal RNA (253 nucleotides) under uncultured bacterium. Its description in RNAcentral is "partial 16S ribosomal RNA". It matches the Rfam family "Bacterial small subunit ribosomal RNA", at positions 524 to 776 of the family's 1533-position model. The record is from RNAcentral.
UACGAAGGGGGCAAGCGUUACUCGGAAUUACUGGGCGUAAAGCGUGCGUAGGUGGUUUGGUAAGUCUGGCGUGAAAGCCCCGGGCUCAACCUGGGAAUGGCGAUGGAUACUGGCGAGCUAGAGUACGGUAGAGGAGAGUGGAAUUCCCAGUGUAGCAGUGAAAUGCGUAGAGAUCGGGAGGAACAUCAGUUGCGAAGGCGGCUCUCUGGACCAGUACUGACGCUGAGGCACGAAAGCGUGGGGAGCAAACAGG